This 227-nucleotide ribosomal RNA is filed under the name Clostridioides difficile. RNAcentral's name for it is "partial 23S ribosomal RNA". It matches the Rfam family "Bacterial large subunit ribosomal RNA", at positions 1724 to 1962 of the family's 2925-position model. Lineage: Bacteria; Bacillati; Bacillota; Clostridia; Peptostreptococcales; Peptostreptococcaceae. The record is from RNAcentral.
GACCCCGUAACUUAGGGAUAAGGGGUGCCACCAUCAGGUGGCCGCAGAGAAUAGGCCCAAGCGACUGUUUACCAAAAACAUAGGUUUCUGCUAAGUCGCCAGACGAUGUAUAGGAGCUGACGCCUGCUCGGUGCUGGAAGGUUAAGGGGAUCUGUUAGAGCAAUCGAAGCAGUGAACUUAAGCCCCAGUAAACGGCGGCCGUAACUAUAACGGUCCUAAGGUAGCGA